Molecule: ribosomal RNA, 893 nt
Filed under: Leuconostoc mesenteroides
Lineage: Bacteria; Bacillati; Bacillota; Bacilli; Lactobacillales; Lactobacillaceae
Description: bacterial SSU rRNA
Rfam family: Bacterial small subunit ribosomal RNA
Source: RNAcentral
GGGACGGGGGCUAUCUGCAGUCGAAGCACAGCGAAAGGGCUUGCCCUUUCAGUGAGUGGCGAACGGGUGAGUAACACGUGGACAACCUGCCUCAAGGCUGGGGAUAACAUUUGGAAACAGAUGCUAAUACCGAAUAAAACUUAGUGUCGCAUGACAAAAAGUUAAAAGGCGCUUCGGCGUCACCUAGAGAUGGAUCCGCGGUGCAUUAGUUAGUUGGUGGGGUAAAGGCCUACCAAGACAAUGAUGCAUAGCCGAGUUGAGAGACUGAUCGGCCACAUUGGGACUGAGACACGGCCCAAACUCCUACGGGAGGCUGCAGUAGGGAAUCUUCCACAAUGGGCGAAAGCCUGAUGGAGCAACGCCGCGUGUGUGAUGAAGGCUUUCGGGUCGUAAAGCACUGUUGUAUGGGAAGAACAGCUAGAAUAGGAAAUGAUUUUAGUUUGACGGUACCAUACCAGAAAGGGACGGCUAAAUACGUGCCAGCAGCCGCGGUAAUACGUAUGUCCCGAGCGUUAUCCGGAUUUAUUGGGCGUAAAGCGAGCGCAGACGGUUUAUUAAGUCUGAUGUGAAAGCCCGGAGCUCAACUCCGGAAUGGCAUUGGAAACUGGUUAACUUGAGUGCAGUAGAGGUAAGUGGAACUCCAUGUGUAGCGGUGGAAUGCGUAGAUAUAUGGAAGAACACCAGUGGCGAAGGCGGCUUACUGGACUGCAACUGACGUUGAGGCUCGAAAGUGUGGGUAGCAAACAGGAUUAGAUACCCUGGUAGUCCACACCGUANACGAUGAACACUAGGUGUUAGGAGGUUUCCGCCUCUUAGUGCCGAAGCUAACGCAUUAAGUGUUCCGCCUGGNGAGUACGACCCGCAGGNUGAAACUCAAAGGAAUUGACGGGGAC